This 74-nucleotide transfer RNA is filed under the name Candidatus Methanophagales archaeon. RNAcentral's name for it is "tRNA-Met". It matches the Rfam family "tRNA". From Rfam's summary of the family: Transfer RNA (tRNA) molecules are approximately 80 nucleotides in length. Their secondary structure includes four short double-helical elements and three loops (D, anti-codon, and T loops). Further hydrogen bonds mediate the characteristic L-shaped molecular structure. tRNAs have two regions of fundamental functional importance: the anti-codon, which is responsible for specific mRNA codon recognition, and the 3' end, to which the tRNAs corresponding amino acid is attached (by aminoacyl-tRNA synthetases). tRNAs cope with the degeneracy of the genetic code in two manners: having more than one tRNA (with a specific anti-codon) for a particular amino acid; and 'wobble' base-pairing, i.e. permitting non-standard base-pairing at the 3rd anti-codon position. The record is from RNAcentral. Lineage: Archaea; Methanobacteriati; Methanobacteriota; Methanomicrobia; Candidatus Methanophagales. RNAcentral also lists the same sequence under 4 other names.
GGGUCCGUAGCUCAGCCAGGUGGAGCGCCCGGCUCAUAACCGGGUGGUCAAGGGUUCGAAUCCCUUCGGACCCA